Molecule: non-coding RNA, 82 nt
Organism: Obba rivulosa
Lineage: Eukaryota; Fungi; Basidiomycota; Agaricomycetes; Polyporales; Gelatoporiaceae
Source: the annotation of a GenBank genome assembly
GCUCUCGUAGUCUAAUGGUUAGGACGUCAGAUUCCUAUGAUUUAUCAUCUGGAGGCUGCGGGUUCGAGUCCCGCCGAGAGUA